UGUGGAAAGGAAAUGUUGUUCAGUGACCUCCGAGUGACUGCUGCAAUGGCUCUGAGAACACUGAAGCAGAUAAACAGAGAGAAUGAAUGAUGCAGACGGCUCAUAGAAAAGCUGGAAUGAAUCUCACUGACAUCAGUUUACCAGUCAAGAAUAGUCCAAUUCAACUUGGACAAGCAGCGAUGUAAUGACUGCUGUGGAGUCUGAAGAAAUAACCCAGAUGAUGGCAUCAUGUCAUCUUUGGUUUGAAGGUGAAAAACAACAUCAUUUCAACCUGUAUGAGUGUAAGAGAUGUGGACGUUUACCCGUGCUGCAUUCAUGUCAUGUUGGAGUCAUCAUCAUUCAGAAGAGGGACCAUGUGUGUGCACAUCCAAAGGCACUCAGGUGGAAGAUAAACCAUACUUAACUGCAGACUACAAAGAGGACACUGUUCGCCUCCUAAUAAAGAGUUUAUUUCUCUUUGCAAGGCAACGUUUGUGGGGAGGCCUCCUUGAGAAGUCAUAUGACCAGAAAGAUGAUGAUUCUAACGGACACAUGAAACUCCGAGGCGUUUCAAGAUUAGAUCCUGGUAUUCUGUACAGUGGGGGGGAGGAUAUUUAAAAUAUCACAUCUUUGGUUAUUUAGUGCUUUUAUGUUUGAUUUUCACACACAAGUGCAAGAAAACAUAAACAAGACUCAUAUUGUAUUUCUGAGUUUGCUUCAGCACCAAGCUUUUUAUUUUAUUCCACUAACAUUCAGGGGCGACAUUUGUAAAAGGCGACUUCAUAACGAAUUAAUUUUCAU
This is a long non-coding RNA of Cottoperca gobio, 780 nucleotides long. RefSeq lists it as uncharacterized. The transcript is spliced from 3 exons. NCBI's taxonomy places the organism in Eukaryota, Metazoa, Chordata, Actinopteri, Perciformes, Bovichtidae. The record is from RefSeq and is a predicted model, not a curated record.